UGUGCAUAUACAGAGAUAUUGAUGUGGUAGUCUGACAUGUACUAUGCAUUUUUUUCCUGUGGUCCCUGGUCAAAAUUUAAAGCCUGUUUAGAAGAUACUUGGGUUUCUCUUAUGAACACAUUUUCAUCAAAAAGGAGGGAAAGGUGUACUUUCAUAUCAGUGAAGGGUCACCUGGCAUGCCAUGCAAGCCAGUCUCCACGAGUGGCAUGGAUUUGGAGGAAGUUCUGAGCCUGAGUUGUGAACACACAUUUGUCCCUGUUUGCCUUCCACAUCACUGAGCUAUCAGUAACCAGAGUGUGUUUUUGCAGUGCUUUUGGGGUUCUUUGAGGGAUGAAAGUGCUGCAUACAAUCAAGUCUGGUCUGUUUAUGGAUGUAAUUCUCUGUGCCCAGAGAUCAGGAUGUGCACUGUGGUCUGAAUUACACUGCAUCUGAUUCUCAUUAACUGCCCAUGAUUUCCCCCCCUGGAUCCGGUUUCUCUGCCCUUUCUGAAUUACUGUGCACAUGGCUGGCUUCCGCAGAUUGCUCAGCCCCGGUCAUCUGCAAUCGAGUCUGCUGCUCUGUUAUAACCCAUGCUGCAAUUUGAGUGGACCCAUAUCAGGAGUGCUUUAGACAUAAAAAAUCUGUCUGAUGAUUGAAGAAACUCCCUGAACUAAAUGCUUCUGCAUUCGAGACUUUAUUAACUAAGCACUAUGGAAAGGGGUAGAUUUGAUUGCUUAGGCCUGCAGAAAGAAAACUGGACAAUAAAUAUUUAUUAUCAAAAUGUGUAUAAUGC
Molecule: long non-coding RNA, 772 nt
Filed under: Marmota monax (woodchuck)
Lineage: Eukaryota; Metazoa; Chordata; Mammalia; Rodentia; Sciuridae
Source: RNAcentral